GGGGCCGUAGUCUAGCCUGGUAGGACGCACGGCUCGGUGCGGCCGAACGAACCCAGCCGCGGGCAAGCCCGUGUGACCCCGGACGGCGGACGCCGGGGGAAGUUCAAAUCCCGGCGGCCCCA
RNAcentral lists this transfer RNA (122 nucleotides) under Thermoproteus tenax Kra 1. Its description in RNAcentral is "transfer RNA-Pro(CGG)". The record is from RNAcentral. Lineage: Archaea; Thermoproteati; Thermoproteota; Thermoprotei; Thermoproteales; Thermoproteaceae.